Molecule: long non-coding RNA, 2894 nt
Filed under: Homo sapiens (human)
Lineage: Eukaryota; Metazoa; Chordata; Mammalia; Primates; Hominidae
Description: HSALNT0260067
Source: RNAcentral
UUCUAGGUUUUCACUUUGUCAGACAUUUUGAGUUUCGAUCACAAACACUCCACGUUCACAUCACCCAUGCAUGCUGCCCACCCGUAUCCACAAGGCUGCUGUGUCUACUCUGCUCCUGUUUUCCAAAGCACCCCUUCCAUCAGGAAAUGUGCCUUCCAUUCCUAGGGAUGUCAUGAUUCCCAGCUUUCAUAUCUCCUCACAGAGGAGGUUCCCAAAUUACUCUGGGUUCUCAGUCCAGAAGUUGAGCCUUUAAAACCCUUUUCUGUCAUAUGGUCAGUCCGUUGCAGGGUGCAGCCCCUCAGCAGCCAAGAUUCCCUGUGGAUAGCUCUUCAAUCUGAUUGCCUGGGCUUUCUCCAUCAUGAAACCUUUCAUCUCCUUGGUCCUUGUCACACACCCUGAACCCCAAAAUAGAAAAGCCACAACAGAAUGAAGUAGAUGAGAAACAAUCUCCUUGUUUAUAAUUCCGUUUAUUUCCUCACAUACCAGCCAAGCUUCUCAGUCAGGCAGACACAAUAGAUGGAAUGGCAAGGGAAGUGAAGAGUGGAGGCUGCAUCCCUUCAGCCGCCAGCUGAUGUUCUGCUUAUUUCGCAUACCGGAACUCCCAGGCGUCCUCAAACCACAAUCACAGUUGUUGGUUCCAGAAACAUCUUCUUUGGAAAAACAUGUGACAUCAGUUUCCUCAGAGUCUUCCGGACAAUCCAGUCACACAGAACUGACAAAACCUUGUCAGGUGAGAAGAUAAGGAUCUUCUUCAAUACAGAAUAUGUCAACAUCUCCUUCUGAAUAGUUCCGUUUAUUUGCUCACAUACCAGCCAAGCUUCUCAGUCAGCAGGCACAAUAGACUGAAUAGGAAGGGAAGUGAAGAGUGAAGUCUGGAUCCGUUUAGCCUCCAGCUGAUGUUCUGCUUAUUUCCUGUACUGGAACUCUCAGAAGUCCUCAAACCACAAUCACAGUUGUUGGUUCCAGAAACAUCUUCUUUGGAAAAACAUGUGACAUCAGUUUCCUCAGAGUCUCCCGGACAAUCCAGUCACGCAGAACUGACAAAACCUUGUCCAGUAAGAAGGUAAGAAUCUUCUUCAAUAGAGAAUACGUCAACGUCUCCGUGAACGAAGAGAUCUGCUGGUUCCAAGGACUUGUCGUGGAUUUCUGUCCUAGAUACUUUCUUCCGUAAUUCAAGAUAAAGAAAAUUACAAUCUCUGCUGUCCAUUCCAUCGCUUUUCCCUUCAGAAUCAUAAUCAGAGAAUCCUUGCAGAACGUCGUGAGUGUGCUCUCAGCUGCAAUCACCAGAAGGACUCUUCACACUCGGUGAGUCCUCCUCAUUUUAUAGAAGCCAAAGCAGUGACGUAUGCUCACCCCUCCCGCCCCCAGGAGAGAGGUUGCUGGCCAAUGAGCUUGAGCUUCGUCAUCCUUCCAAGCCCCACCCAGUUCCUUUGCUUCCCUUUCACCAACUUUGACUGAAAUGAAUAGGUUACAACCUUUAGCUUUCUGCCCCUUGGAAAACGGAAGCAUUUAGACAUCCGUAUUAAUAUUUGGAUCUAGAGUGUUCGUGUUUUAGCACUUCCUUUUUUGAAAGGAGAAGCAGACGUGUUGUGUUUUUAGGAACACUUCCAAGAAGUUUCUCCUCCUCUAUGAUGAAACCAACACAAGAAAGCCAAAAGGGCGUUUAACCCCUUGAAGCACUGAGAGUUUCCCUGCUGAUAUUCUUAGACUGUUCUUUUUCUAAAACGAGAAAGAGCGACUCUUAAAUAGGUGGCUCACCAGGAGAAAGGCAUAGCAGAACCUGGACUGAGACCUACGGGAGACAGAUGCUGCCAUGGGGUUGUAGCCCCACAACUUGCCAGUCUGUAUGCUUCCCUAGAGGUUUGAGCAGCGGAGUACUAAAGAAGCAAGCCACACCCCCACUCCACCUCCUGUGAGGGGGACAAGGAAACUUUUCCCAUUUCAACUGGUGGCUCGUCUGGGAUCUCGGAAGAUCAUCCUGGCCUGCUAAGACCCAUCCUGUGCUUAUAAAAACCCCAAGACCCUAGCAGUCAGACACACAGGAGGCUUGACGUCGAGAGGAGCACAUCAGCGGAGGAACACACAGGCGGCUGGACAUGAAGAGGAACAUGACAACAGGCACCAGCACACCAGCAGGGCACCGACUUAUAGAACGAUGUGGAUUUUGCCUGGGGCAGUCAGAGGAGAGCCAGGGCUGCUGAACGGCCCCAAUCCAGGGAGAAACCAAUCUCCUUUCUGGCUCCCCCAUCUGCUGAGAGCUACUUCCACUCAAUAAAACCUUGCACUCAUUCUCCACGUCCACGUGUGACCUGAUUCUUCUGGAAUGCCAAGGCAAGAACCCUAGGAUACAGAAAGCCCUCUGUCCUUGUGAUAAGGAAUGUGUCUAAUUGAGCUAGUUACCACAAGUUGCCUAUAAAUGGCAAAACUAAAAGACCACACGACCACUGGGGCUUCAGGAACUGUAAACAUCCACCCCUACACACUGCCAGUAUGAGAAAAAUUUGCUGAUAUGUUUUCUGCUGACCUGAUGACAAUGUUCCUAUGGUCACACUAACCACUGCUGGGUAAUUUUCAUCAUGACUCUCGUUUUCAUCUGCUGAAACCAGCCUCCCCAAGAAAGACAACUAUUUUCAAACUGAGGAAAUAAAGUGUUACUAAACCACAGUGUUCUCUCAUGGCUGUUCCUGGAGUUCUUCAAAACACUUGAUAUUAUAAAAUAGAAUUAUUACAGAUCACUGUAUGUUAUGGAUUUAGUCAAAAUGAUAAUUUAAAAUAUGGUUUAAAAUAAAAAACUUUAUUUUCCAAAGAAGAUAGUUUUUUAAACAAGAAUAUCCAAUAAAGACAGUAUGAGGUCAGCUGACUUUAGUGUUGGUGUAUGUGUAUGUGUGUGUGUG